Molecule: transfer RNA, 68 nt
Filed under: Pthirus pubis (crab louse)
Lineage: Eukaryota; Metazoa; Arthropoda; Insecta; Psocodea; Pthiridae
Description: tRNA-Val
Source: RNAcentral
GGGUAAGAAGUUUGUGUGUACAAAUGCUUAGUUUACGGCUGAGAGAGCCUGCUUAACGGGCUUACCUA